GACGAACGCUGGCGGCGUGCUUAACACAUGCAAGUCGAACGGAAAGGCCCUGCUUUUGUGGGGUGCUCGAGUGGCGAACGGGUGUGUAACACGUGAGUAACCUGCCCUUGACUUUGGGAUAACUUCAGGAAACUGGGGCUAAUACCGGAUAGGAGCUCCUGCUGCAUGGUGGGGGUUGGAAAGUUUCGGCGGUUGGGGAUGGACUCGCGGCCUAUCAGCUUGUUGGUGGGGUAGUGGCGUACCAAGGCUUUGACGGGUAGCAGGCCUGGGAGGGUGACCGGCCACAUUGGGGCUGAGAUACGGCCCGGACUCCUACGGGAGGCAGCAGUGGGGAAUAUUGCACAAUGGGCGGAAGCCUGAUGCAGCAACGCCGCGUGCGGGAUGACGGCCUUCAGGUUGUAAACCGCUUUCGCCUGUGACGAAGCGUAAGUGACGGUAAUGGGUAGAGAAGCACCGGCUAACUACGUG
This 468-nucleotide ribosomal RNA is filed under the name uncultured bacterium. RNAcentral describes it as "partial 16S ribosomal RNA". It matches the Rfam family "Bacterial small subunit ribosomal RNA", at positions 28 to 507 of the family's 1533-position model. The record is from RNAcentral.